AUGUGCCACGCGUACGCUGCGGUUCUGAGCGCGCCAUCCGCGCCCACCUGACCGCUGCUCGCUACGUUUUUGUUGUCG
This 78-nucleotide small RNA is filed under the name Xanthomonas campestris pv. pennamericanum. RNAcentral describes it as "sX9 sRNA". It matches the Rfam family "Xanthomonas sRNA sX9". The record is from RNAcentral. Lineage: Bacteria; Pseudomonadati; Pseudomonadota; Gammaproteobacteria; Lysobacterales; Lysobacteraceae.